RNAcentral lists this ribosomal RNA (510 nucleotides) under uncultured bacterium. Its description in RNAcentral is "bacterial SSU rRNA". It matches the Rfam family "Bacterial small subunit ribosomal RNA", at positions 46 to 547 of the family's 1533-position model. The record is from RNAcentral.
GUUUAACACAUGCAAGUCGAACGGAAACGAAAAUAGCUUGCUAUUUGGCGUCGAGUGGCGAACGGGUGAGUAACGCGUAGGAAUCUACCCAGUAGAGGGGGAUAGCCCGAAGAAAUUCGGAUUAAUACCGCAUAAUCUCUACGGAGUAAAGAAGGCCUCUUUACAAUGCUUUUACUAUUGGAUGAGCCUGCGUUAGAUUAGUUAGUUGGUAGGGUAAAAGCCUACCAAGGCGACGAUCUAUAGCUGGUUUUACGAGAAUGAUCAGCCACACUGGAACUGAGACACGGUCCAGACUCCUACGGGAGGCAGCAGCGAAGAAUAUUGGACAAUGGGGGAAACCCUGAUCCAGCAAUGUUGCGUGUGUGAAGAAGGUCCGAGGAUUGUAAAGCACUUUCAGUAAGCAAGAAAAAUGUAAAUCUAAUAGAUUUGCAUGUUGACCACUUAUAGAAGAAGCACCGGCUAACUCCGUGCCAGCAGCCGCGGUAAUACGGAGGGUGCGAGCGUUAAUCG